RNAcentral lists this ribosomal RNA (253 nucleotides) under uncultured bacterium. RNAcentral's name for it is "partial 16S ribosomal RNA". It matches the Rfam family "Bacterial small subunit ribosomal RNA", at positions 524 to 776 of the family's 1533-position model. The record is from RNAcentral.
UACGUAGGCAGCAAGCGUUGUUCGGAAUUACUGGGCGUAAAGAGUGUGUAGGCGGUGCUCUAAGUCUGUCGUGAAAUCUCCCGGCUUAACUGGGAGGGUGCGGCGGAAACUGGAGUGCUCGAGGAUGGGAGAGGUAAGCGGAAUUCCUGGUGUAGCGGUGAAAUGCGUAGAUAUUGGGAAGAACACCGGUGGCGAAGGCGGCUAUCUGGACCGACAUUGACGCUGAUGCGCGAAAGCGUGGGGAGCAAACAGG